GUGGAUGCCAUGUGACCAGGGUGCUGUUGACUUUGUGUGUCCCAUGGUGUGCUUGGCAAACAGAGCAAUUUACCCAAGGCCACCUCGUCGCCAUCUGCCAGGUUGGGAGCUUUGGAGCGGGAGGCAGAGGACAGGGCUCUGCCUGGCAUGCACUUGCCCCUCUGGCUUUCCCGGGGUGCCCACCCAGAGAUGCUGGCCACGUAGAUGGGUGUAUCCGGGAAGGCGACUCCGUAUACCACUGAGGACUUCUCUGCAACACUCUGGAGGUCUUUAUCAAGGGGUUGCCCGUUCUAGAAUACUCUAUGUGAUUGCUGCCUCCACAUUGGGCUCCCAUUAAGUUUUCACGUAAAGAAAAAAUCCAGGAACUGGCUUCAGGUGGCCCCUGCGCCAUCUCUCUGAGGAGGUACCUGCGGGUGGACCAUUACCCAGAUUUUAGCAAACGUGACCGCCAAGUCCCACAGACCAAGAAGCAUGGGCAGGGACAAGGUGUCUCCGGGAAGCUGGGACCUGGUUGCACUGUGCCUUCACACAAGGACUGGGGACCUGUGUCAGAGCAGAGUCCCGGGGAGCUGGUGUCGCUGGCCCCGGGUGAGCAGACUGAGGAAGCCCCGGCCAGAAGCUGCCCACCUAGCCUUGCGGCAUCCUGGCAGACGGACCUGAGCCAGGCAUGCGGCGGGGCCCGAGGAGCUCAUCGACACGGAGAUCUUUUGCUCCUGGACGACCUGCCACACUUGAGACAACCGCGGGGACUGGGGAGACGGUCAGCCGAAGCAGUGACCUUCUGAAGGUGGGACUAACCAACCCGAGAGACUUUUGAUGGUGGGGUGUCUGGGGGAUGGUUUGCAGAUGAGGCUCUUCUCUUGUGGGUGACAGUCUGGAAAAUCUGCACAGGGUGAGGUUACCCUGCAUUGAUUCAUCCAGGUCUGGGGGGGUGGCUGUCCUCUGAGCAGUUGUAUCAGCCAGUGGCCCAGCAGCACCGCAUCCUCCCCGUGUCAAGAACCUGACUAGCAUUAGGGAGGAGGAGCUCUCAUCAUUCUUCAGGAAAGUGCCUUUCAAUUCUCUUUAAAUGGUGGUGUGAUUUUACUGAUCUCUCUAAGAAGGAUGACAUUCAUUAUCAGGGUCAUAUACCGAAGAGGUUUGCCUAGGAUUGUCCGUUUUAAAAUGGAAAGUUCCAUGUCCUGGGAGACUCCUCCAUCCAGGGCAAAGCAGUCCCCCGGCCCCUACUCAGAUGGAGGAAGUCAGCUCAAACAACAUGUGGUGGACCUGCCCGUAAGCUGCGUCCCGCCUGUGUGUGCACAUGGCUACGCGGGAUGGCAUCCCCACACGUAUUUGAGGUUCGCCAUUUGGUCCCGUGAGCCAGAAUUCUGGGGCUCUCGCGGCAACCCCUUCCGUUGAGGCUGCCUGGCACAGAAGCAGGACAGAAGCAGGUGCUGCUGCCAGCACAGGACCCUGGAAGAAGACCAAAUUCUGUAGUGUUACUUGAAUCACUUUCCAGUUACGCUAGUCAAGAUAUUACCACCACCACCCCCCCCCCCCCCGCCCCGCUUAGGCCAGUUUACGUUGGUUUCUUUAUUCACAAAUGACAAUUCUGAUGAAUGCAGGCCUCUGCAUCCACGCACCAGCCAUCCAUCUACAGCCUCACGACGCAUGCCUGGCUCAGAGCAGGCCCUCAAGCCACGGCGGCUGAGUGAAUGAGAGGCUGUGCCCUGGCCUGAUAGCAGGCAGCGACUGCAUCCAACUGCAAGUAACGGCCAAGGGAAUAGUCACUUAAGCAGGAAGAGCUUGUUUUCCCCUUCAAUUUUCUUCUUUUCACGUAGCAAGAAGUCUGGCUUUUGUCAUUCCCAGGCCGUGGUGUGGCAGCUCCGUGAUAUUAUCAAGGACUUAGCCCCUUCCAUAUUUCUGUCCUGCCAUCCUUCACACGUAGCUUUGGUCUUCAUGGUCACAAGAAAGCUACUGCUACUCCGGGCGUCUUGAGUGAGUUCCAGGCAGGAAGAGAAAGAAAAGGGUGAUAGAGGGGGGGAGAGGCUCUCCCUUGAUGUGUAAAACCCUUAGUUGUACAGCUCACAAACUAGAAUCAUGUCACCUGGCAUCCCUAGAUGCAGAGGAGACUGAGAAAUAGAGUUUGUUAGUGGGGCUCACUGCCACCUGAGACGUCAGGUUUCUCUUAUAAAGGAUGGCUACCUGGAUAUUAAGUAGGCAACUGGCCGUCUCUGCCACUGGACUUUUUUUUUUUUUUAAAGAUUUUAUUUAUUCAUGAGAGAGAGAGAGAGAGGCAGAAGCAGGCUCCAUGCGGGGAGCCCGACAUGGGACUCGAUCCCUGGUCUCCAGGAUCACGCCCUGGACUGAAGGCGGCGCUAAACCGCGGAGCCACUCGGGCUGCCCUGCCACUGGCCUUUUGCCAUUCUUUUUAAUUUUCUUCAUUCAGAACACUGUUUUGGGUAUUUGGGUGACUUUUGUGGUACCCUUAUGUGCCAGCUUUGCCCUUGUCUGCUCUUUAGGGACAACAGCUGUGCUCAGUUGUCUUUUGCAGCUCCACCCUGGAGUCGGCCUGUCUUCUUGGGGCUCCUAAGAAUUGUUCCAGUAAGAAUGUCUGAGGCUGAAACAGACAUGUUCCUUCUGAGAGAUACAAGGAAAUUCUCCUUUGCCCACAGUGGGUAGCAACAGGCACAGACUGUAGCACAUGGAAGGUAGACGGUGAACAGCUGAUGGAUAGGUGAAUGGUAAUGAUGGCUAGUGGAUGGAUAACUGGGCCUUCAACUCGGUAAGCAUGGGGGAGUGGAGGACUCCUACUAGGAGAGGCAGCGUGAAUACAAUGUGUAAAACACAGUGCCUGCCCUCAGGUAGCUUGCAGGCUGGGAGCUAAGAAGUGGGCAGAGAGACCUGGAAAUAGAUAUUAGCUCUGCACUAGGCAGAUGGUUAUUAAGCACCAAAAGUGUGGUCAGUGCAGGGAUGCCUGGGUGGCUCAGAAGUUGUGCAUCUGCCUUUGGCUCAGGUCAUGAUCCCGGGGUCCUGGGAUUGAGUCCUGCAUCAGGCCCCUGCAGAGAGUCUGCUUCUUCCGCUGCCUAUGUCUCUGCCUCUCUCUCUCCAUGUCUCUCAUGAAUAAAUAAAUAAAAUCUUUAAGCAAAACAAAAAGUGUGGCCAGUGCAAAUUAAGAUAUAUUGUCGGUGUAAAAUACACACCAGAUUUUGAAGGCUGGAUACAGAAAAAUAUUGUAUAAUCUCAUUAAUAAUGGUCUUACAUUGAUCAUGCAUGGAAAUGAUAAUAUUUUGGUCAUAAUUGGGUUAAAUAAAAUACUAAAAUUCA
Long non-coding RNA from Nyctereutes procyonoides (raccoon dog), 3303 nucleotides. RefSeq lists it as uncharacterized. NCBI's taxonomy places the organism in Eukaryota, Metazoa, Chordata, Mammalia, Carnivora, Canidae. The transcript has 4 exons. The record is from RefSeq and is a predicted model, not a curated record.